CCAAAAACAUAGCCUUAGAUAAAAUCUAAGGUGUAACCUGCCCAGUGGUUUUAAAUUUUAAAAAGAUAAAAUCUUUUAAAUAAAACUAAAAGGACGCGGUAACCUUGACCGUGAUAAUGUAGCAUAAUCACUCGCCAUUUAAUUGAUGGAUAGUAUGAAUGGUUGAACGAAUAUUCCACUGUCUUAAGAAAAAAUCAAAUAAAAUUAAAAUAAUAGUUAAGAUGCUAUUUAAAAUUGUAAGACGAAAAGACCCUAUAGAGCUUAACUAUAGUUUUCUUUACAAAAAUGAGAACAACCUUCUCAAACUAAAGAAAAUUGGUAGUUUAGUUGGGGCGACUACCUUCUAGAAAUAACGAAGGCAAGCAAAGUUAAUAAAAAACUUAUUAUAUAAAAUAAAUUUUUAAUAAUUACAAAAGUAGGCUAUAAUGACCCGUUUAUAUUUAAUAAAAAAAUCAACGAUCAAUUAAUAAAAGCUACCUU
Molecule: ribosomal RNA, 480 nt
Filed under: Orthopyxis mianzani
Lineage: Eukaryota; Metazoa; Cnidaria; Hydrozoa; Leptothecata; Campanulariidae
Description: partial 16S ribosomal RNA
Rfam family: Bacterial large subunit ribosomal RNA
Source: RNAcentral